Molecule: ribosomal RNA, 435 nt
Filed under: uncultured bacterium
Lineage: Bacteria
Description: partial 16S ribosomal RNA
Rfam family: Bacterial small subunit ribosomal RNA
Source: RNAcentral
AGCGAACGCUGGCGGCAGGCUUAACACAUGCAAGUCGAACGGGCAUCUUCGGAUGUCAGUGGCAGACGGGUGAGUAACACGUGGGAACGUACCCUUCGGUUCGGAAUAACUCAGGGAAACUUGAGCUAAUACCGGAUACGCCCUUUUGGGGAAAGGUUUACUGCCGAAGGAUCGGCCCGCGUCUGAUUAGCUUGUUGGUGGGGUAACGGCCUACCAAGGCGACGAUCAGUAGCUGGUCUGAGAGGAUGAUCAGCCACACUGGGACUGAGACACGGCCCAGACUCCUACGGGAGGAAGCAGUGGGGAAUAUUGGACAAUGGGCGCAAGACUGAUCCAGCCAUGCCGCGUGAGUGAUGAAGGCCUUAGGGUUGUAAAGCUCUUUUGUCCGGGACGAUAAUGACGGUACCGGAAGAAUAAGCCCCGGCUAACUUCGUG